GAUGAACGCUGGCGGCGUGCCUAAUACAUGCAAGUCGAGCGAACAGACGAGGAGCUUGCUCCUCUGACGUUAGCGGCGGACGGGUGAGUAACACGUGGAUAACCUACCUAUAAGACUGGGAUAACUUCGGGAAACCGGAGCUAAUACCGGAUAAUAUAUUGAACCGCAUGGUUCAAUAGUGAAAGACGGUUUUGCUGUCACUUAUAGAUGGAUCCGCGCCGCAUUAGCUAGUUGGUAAGGUAACGGCUUACCAAGGCAACGAUGCGUAGCCGACCUGAGAGGGGGCUCGGCCACAAUGGAACGGAGACACGGUCCAGACCCCUAGGGGGGGCAGGAGUAGGGAAUCUUCCGCAAUGGGCGAAAGCCUGACGGAGCAACGCCGCGGGAGGGAAGAAGGUUUUCGGAUCGUAAAACUUUGUUAUUAGGGAAAAAAAAAUGUGUAAGUAACUAUGCACGUCUGGACGGUACCUACUCAGAAAGCCACGGCUAACUACGU
Molecule: ribosomal RNA, 496 nt
Filed under: uncultured bacterium
Lineage: Bacteria
Description: partial 16S ribosomal RNA
Rfam family: Bacterial small subunit ribosomal RNA
Source: RNAcentral